GAGGGUAUAGCUCAGUGGGAGAGCGCAUGCCUAGAAUGCACAAGGUCCUGGGUUCAAUUCUCAGUCCCUCCA
RNAcentral lists this transfer RNA (72 nucleotides) under Camelus bactrianus (Bactrian camel). It matches the Rfam family "tRNA". Rfam says of the family: Transfer RNA (tRNA) molecules are approximately 80 nucleotides in length. Their secondary structure includes four short double-helical elements and three loops (D, anti-codon, and T loops). Further hydrogen bonds mediate the characteristic L-shaped molecular structure. tRNAs have two regions of fundamental functional importance: the anti-codon, which is responsible for specific mRNA codon recognition, and the 3' end, to which the tRNAs corresponding amino acid is attached (by aminoacyl-tRNA synthetases). tRNAs cope with the degeneracy of the genetic code in two manners: having more than one tRNA (with a specific anti-codon) for a particular amino acid; and 'wobble' base-pairing, i.e. permitting non-standard base-pairing at the 3rd anti-codon position. The record is from Rfam by way of RNAcentral. RNAcentral also lists the same sequence under 2 other names. Lineage: Eukaryota; Metazoa; Chordata; Mammalia; Artiodactyla; Camelidae.